This 489-nucleotide ribosomal RNA is filed under the name Listeria monocytogenes. Its description in RNAcentral is "bacterial SSU rRNA". It matches the Rfam family "Bacterial small subunit ribosomal RNA", at positions 27 to 497 of the family's 1533-position model. Lineage: Bacteria; Bacillati; Bacillota; Bacilli; Caryophanales; Listeriaceae. The record is from RNAcentral.
GGACGAACGCUGGCGGCGUGCCUAAUACAUGCAAGUCGAACGAACGGAGGAAGAGCUUGCUCUUCCAAAGUUAGUGGCGGACGGGUGAGUAACACGUGGGCAACCUGCCUGUAAGUUGGGGAUAACUCCGGGAAACCGGGGCUAAUACCGAAUGAUAAAGUGUGGCGCAUGCCACGCUUUUGAAAGAUGGUUUCGGCUAUCGCUUACAGAUGGGCCCGCGGUGCAUUAGCUAGUUGGUAGGGUAAUGGCCUACCAAGGCAACGAUGCAUAGCCGACCUGAGAGGGUGAUCGGCCACACUGGGACUGAGACACGGCCCAGACUCCUACGGGAGGCAGCAGUAGGGAAUCUUCCGCAAUGGACGAAAGUCUGACGGAGCAACGCCGCGUGUAUGAAGAAGGUUUUCGGAUCGUAAAGUACUGUUGUUAGAGAAGAACAAGGAUAAGAGUAACUGCUUGUCCCUUGACGGUAUCUAACCAGAAAGCCACGGC